AGAACAGUGACACUUCAUUGGCCAGUGGAAGAAAUUAACCCACAAUGAUGUUGAUGCUAUUUCUAAGAGGCCUGUGGAGAAGAGAGGAAGCCUGCCAUUGUAGCCUUGUGGUAUAGAAUCCUAGUUGUUAAAAGAGCUUUGGCGAUGCCAGACCUAAGAGAUGCAAAUGAAACAGAACUUUAGAAGAAACACAGGCCCAGAUUGAAUACGAAAUCAUGGAAGCUAUUGACAGAAACUCUCUUGGUGAAGGUUGUUUCUUUCUCCAUACAGAGCUCACCAGAGUACCACCUGUCAUUUUCAAAAGCAAAGUCAGUUUUGCCAACCAGCCGUGAAUGACAAACAAAGCUUUAUAUGAAACACAA
Long non-coding RNA from Symphalangus syndactylus (siamang), 362 nucleotides. RefSeq lists it as uncharacterized. The record is from RefSeq and is a predicted model, not a curated record. Lineage: Eukaryota; Metazoa; Chordata; Mammalia; Primates; Hylobatidae.